This 74-nucleotide transfer RNA is filed under the name Alphaproteobacteria bacterium. Its description in RNAcentral is "tRNA-Ile". It matches the Rfam family "tRNA". From Rfam's summary of the family: Transfer RNA (tRNA) molecules are approximately 80 nucleotides in length. Lineage: Bacteria; Pseudomonadati; Pseudomonadota; Alphaproteobacteria. The record is from RNAcentral.
GCUCGUGUAGCUCAGUUGGUUAGAGCAUCAGUCUUAUGAGCUGAGGGUCUGCGGUUCAAGUCCGCACUAGAGCA